CUCAAACCUGGAUCCGGAGCCUCUGCUGCAUGAGAAGAAAGGAGAGGGGGAAAAAAAAAAAAACCCCACCACCACUCUCACACACAUACAUACACUCUGCCGCUGUAAUGUUAUUAGAGCUACACAGCGGAUCACUCUGGUCUCUUCUGCUCUCUCUCUUUUCUCUUCAGAAAUUAAAGCAGAACUGCAUCUGAGAGUGGAAAAGGUCCCCCUUCUGUUUUAACAUUCUUGGAUGCUGUGGACCCUGGCUGCUGCAACACUGCCUGUAUGUGAUUUAUGAAAGUGUGUGCAUACGUAUAAAGAAAUCCCACCUUCUACUGCAACAGAAGACUUAUCAGUGCCAGAUUCCUAAAACAGCAUCUUGCUGCAGCUGUACAGCUUACAGCACUGGAGCACCAGAUGGACAUUCCAGAAAUAAACAAAUAUUUUGGUUCUGGAUAAAGUUCUUGGGAAAGGCCAAGGAAGAUAGCAUAUUGGAAAAGAGACAAUAGAGUGUGAGCCAUACAAUAAAUGUUACCAUGUGGAAUGUGAACCACCUGACUAAAUCAGACACCUCUAGAGAGGAAAAAAAGGAAACAGCAAAUACCUUUAUAUCCCUUGACGCCAUCAAAGGAAGCCUGCAAUGCAUGGCAUCAGGUCCUCUGAGGUUUAAUAUCUGAUGUGUUUGCAUCUCUGAUG
This is a long non-coding RNA of Dermochelys coriacea (leatherback sea turtle), 678 nucleotides long. RefSeq lists it as uncharacterized. The record is from RefSeq and is a predicted model, not a curated record. The transcript is spliced from 3 exons. NCBI's taxonomy places the organism in Eukaryota, Metazoa, Chordata, Testudines, Dermochelyidae.